AUUGGCAAUAGGCAGGUGCACCGCGGCUCAGGUUAAUAUAACUCCCUCAUUGUUCUGUCUGAAGUUAGCCGCGCCUACCUACCACAUGGUCUACAUCUGAGCUGGAGUACUUCCUGAUCUACAUACACAUCUACAUGAGACUGUGUCUACGCAUUGAAAACUGCAUAGGACUACACAUCCAUCCCAGAACGAGAGCAAUGUUGAGAAGAACGGCUCUCACUUGGGGAUUCCAAGGAGAAUGAUCCUGAGAUAAGAUGAACCAAGACUCCUGAAGUGCCACCACCAACAAUGGCUGAGCUGCUACAACUUUGAGGAGUCGCCACGCCACAGUUAGCACACCUGAGCAUUCCCUUUUGUCAGACUUCCCGGGAAGUGUGAAAACCUACAGAGUACUCAGAAAUGUUGUUGAAAGUGGUGGGCCUACAACCAAACAUAUAAAUCACAUGUAAAUAAGGGAUGUUUGUGUGGGCAACAAACUUGUGUGAGAAACAAUAUUUGUGCAUUCUUUAUCUAGCAUAUAGGCAUCAUUAUUUUACUUUUGGAAUGGUUUUCAAAUGAUUUACUAAGCUGUUAUCCUUUUCUGGAUAUCUAUACUAUUGACAGCUUUCACUUCAAAUUAGCAGACCUACAGUUGGGUAUUUUUCCAGAAAAAUGGAUGGACUACUCUGAUGAAAAUACAGUACAAAACAAGUCAGUCUGAUUACACAGAUAAGGUCAAAUAAAGUUUUACUAGAGAGAUAAACAAAAAUACAAGGUAAUUUCUGUGACCUUCUCCCAAAAAUAUAAUGCACAGUAAGGCAUGUGUCAAACUCAUUCCAUGGAGGGCUGAGUGUAUGUGGGUUUUCGCUCCUCCCUUGUACUUGAUUGAUUGAUUAAUUAAGGUCACCAAUUAGUAAAGAACUUCCCUCAACUGGUUGUCUUAAAUGAAAGGAAAAACCCAAUACCUGCAGACAUUAAACCCUCCAUGGAAUGUGUUUGACACCCCUGGUGUAAGGUACUGUAUUGAUACCACCCAGACUGGGGGGAAAUAAUAAUCACAAAAAAAAAUAUUUACAAAGAUAUCGCCAAAUGAAAUAUUUUUCAUAAUUGAGAUCCAAAUGAAGAAUAAAGUACAGUGUAGUGGUGGAAAGUUCAACUGUUAUGUAAACAUGCUUGUUAAUAAAUACAUGGAAUAGUGCAGCGGUGAAAUGGCAGCAGUUGUUUGUCGUAGAAGGUGUAGAAGUCUCCCUGCAAUUCAGGCAGUUGCACCAGCGAGGUUGUCCGUGGUCUGGGAUGUCUGGAGACCCUGGGAUGCCUCUCCAGUACUCAAAAAUCACUCAACGUAUACUGGAAGUAACCAGAUCAAGUACCUCUCCCCUUUCUUCCAAGGACAGUCCUUGUAAUUUAGCCUGUAAUGAUAAAAAAAAGCAACAUAAAAUUACAGAAUGAAACCAAA
Molecule: long non-coding RNA, 1435 nt
Organism: Oncorhynchus kisutch (coho salmon)
Lineage: Eukaryota; Metazoa; Chordata; Actinopteri; Salmoniformes; Salmonidae
Exons: 3
Source: RefSeq, a predicted model, not a curated record